ACCAGCAGUAAAUUCUGGAGGGACUUGUGUGGUGGUCUCCGGUAUCGGAUUGAUUUUUAGCUGAUCAGAAAGAGAGAAAAUGAGUGGAUUGUUACUAAGUUUAGAAGAUGACAGUUUGUGAUUUUCAUGGUGUUCCUUUGCACAUCUGUAACAUAUUGGAGCUUGACAGUCCUGACAGAGAAUGUUUAUAUCCUUAUUUGGAUGAUCUCUGCAUUUCUCCGCAGGUAGUUGCAUUUUGCGUCUUUGAUAAUGAAAUGUGUGUAGAGCGUAACCUGGAUAAAUAAUUUGAUGAAAAUUCCACUGCAGAUACGUGUUAAAAUGUGAAUAUUAAAAAAAAUACCGAUUACAAC
This is a long non-coding RNA of Magallana angulata, 350 nucleotides long. RefSeq lists it as uncharacterized. The record is from RefSeq and is a predicted model, not a curated record. The transcript is spliced from 3 exons. NCBI's taxonomy places the organism in Eukaryota, Metazoa, Mollusca, Bivalvia, Ostreida, Ostreidae.